UGAGCGACCUACCGAUCAGAGGGGGAUAGCCGGCCCAACGGCCGGGUAAUACCGCAUACGCUCUUUGAACCGCAUGGUUCUUUGAGGAAACCUCUGGGGCUGAUCGAGGGGCUCGCGGCCUAUCAGCUAGUUGGCGGGGUAACGCCCACCAAGGCAUCGACGGGUAGCUGGUCUGAGAGGAUGGCCAGCCACAUUGGGACUGAGAUACGGCCCAGACUCCUACGGGAGCAG
RNAcentral lists this ribosomal RNA (231 nucleotides) under uncultured bacterium. Its description in RNAcentral is "partial 16S ribosomal RNA". It matches the Rfam family "Bacterial small subunit ribosomal RNA", at positions 118 to 347 of the family's 1533-position model. The record is from RNAcentral.